Molecule: long non-coding RNA, 551 nt
Organism: Syzygium oleosum
Lineage: Eukaryota; Viridiplantae; Streptophyta; Magnoliopsida; Myrtales; Myrtaceae
Exons: 2
Source: RefSeq, a predicted model, not a curated record
GUUGUUUGUCAGUACUUCUAUCAUGCAGAUCCGUUCUUCUUACAUAUGCACAUGACGAUGUGAGCGGUUGGGUUCUGGUUUAUCGGGCUUAAUGUUGUGCAUAUUGAUGAAGCAAAGUUUUGCUGCUCAUCUUGGUCAACAGGAGCAAUCAGUGCAGGUGCUUGAUGCGUCAUUGCUUAUGAUACCGGGGUUAUACUUCGCACGAGGCCCAUUGAUUCUUUCAAGAGUUCUUUGAAUAUAGAAAUCUGCGACCCUUUUAGGUUGAUUGGUGGAGAGGUGAUGUAUGGAACUGGAGAUUUGGCAGCCCUUCUUUUGGACUUCGGCAUGUUAGCUCGUAGCUGAAGAAGGCUUCAAAGAUGAAUACUUUUAAGUUUUAAGGGCUAAAUAGGUCCCAUGCUGGAUGCAGAACAACUUUCUUUGAGUUGAGCGUCUAACAAAUGGGUCAUUAUUCUUUCAUUUAUAGUGGGGGAGGAGAUUCAGCCCCAUUUGAUAGUGUCGACUUGCUACCGAGAGAUUGUACUAUGAUUGGCGGCUUAUUCUCUUGAUUAAAG